GCCUGGGUGGCUCAGUUGGUUAAGCGUCUGACUUUAGCUCAGGUCAUGAUCUCAAGGUUUGUGAGUUCGAGCCCCACCUUGGGCU
Molecule: transfer RNA, 85 nt
Filed under: Felis catus (domestic cat)
Lineage: Eukaryota; Metazoa; Chordata; Mammalia; Carnivora; Felidae
Rfam family: tRNA
About the family: Transfer RNA (tRNA) molecules are approximately 80 nucleotides in length. Their secondary structure includes four short double-helical elements and three loops (D, anti-codon, and T loops).
Source: Rfam by way of RNAcentral